AGGUUAAGCUAGAAAGGGCGCACGGUGGAUGCCUUGGCACUAGGAGCCGAAGAAGGACGGGACGAACACCGAUAUGCCUCGGGGAGC
This 87-nucleotide ribosomal RNA is filed under the name Fictibacillus phosphorivorans. RNAcentral describes it as "partial 23S ribosomal RNA". It matches the Rfam family "Bacterial large subunit ribosomal RNA", at positions 1 to 86 of the family's 2925-position model. Lineage: Bacteria; Bacillati; Bacillota; Bacilli; Caryophanales; Fictibacillaceae. The record is from RNAcentral.